GCUUUUGUUUUUUCUCCGUUGAUAUGGUUUUCUUCAUUUGAUGUGCAAACACACCUUUUUACCAUUAUGGCUAUUUUUCUUCCAAUUCCUCAUAUGGUGUCUUGCAUCAGUGAUGUAAGUUCUCUAGGACUCUUAGAAGCAGUUGACUCCACAUUUUAUGUAUUAUAAGAUAACACAAGUGCAUGAAUUUCUUUCUUUCUUUCUUAAUUCGAAUUCUGUUGUGAAUGGUGUUCAUUGUAUUUCAUUCAGUUAUCUACACUAGUCGAAAAAUACUAAAGCAGUUGCAGAAUCUUUAAAUUAUACUUCAUUUUAGUUUGGGAUGAUAUAAAAAUGUUAAGAGGAUGGUCACAUAUUGCUAUAUCACUUUUUUUGUCAAGAUUUGCUACUUUUUAAAUAGAAGCACACCCAUUACGUAAUUUGAAUUUUUGUAAUAGAACUAUAUACUUACUUUUUUUAGUUGAAUAUGAAUUAAG
RNAcentral lists this long non-coding RNA (473 nucleotides) under Olea europaea (common olive). RNAcentral describes it as "long non-coding RNA (OEUR_LNC004362)". The record is from RNAcentral. Lineage: Eukaryota; Viridiplantae; Streptophyta; Magnoliopsida; Lamiales; Oleaceae.